UUAAUUUGUAGGUAAAGCAUAUGUGGAGACGAGGGGAUCCGCAAAGAUCCUUCGAUCUCGAUUUCAAAUCCAAGGUAAGUGAUUUUAAUAUUAUUUUUUUGUUUCAUAUACAUGUAUACUAAUAUCUAUUUUAAAUCUUUUUAGAUGCAUACGAGAGGGAGCGACCGGAUGAUCGGACGACCGAAUACAUCAUAGGGAGUAAUCCAUCCCUUUCCUUUUACAUUUAUGCAUUUUAUUUAAUUUAGCAUUAUGCAUAUAGAAAUAGAUUUAUUUUUACGUCGGUCCCGGGACAUGCAUGCAUUAAUUUUUUUGUUUCUAUAUUUUAUACUAACUUAUUUUCAAGUGUUUUUAAUUUGUAGGUAAAGCUUAUGUGGAGACGAGGGGAUCCGCAAAGAUCCUUCGAUCUCGAUUUCAAAUCCAAAGUAAGUGAUUUUAAUAUUAUUUUUUUGUUUCCUAUACAUAUACUAAUAUCUAUUUUAAAUCUUUUUAGAUGCAUACGAGAGGGAGCGGCCGGAUGAUCGGACGACCGAAUACAUCAGAGGGAGUAAUCCGUCCCUUUCCUUUUACAUUUAUGCGUUUAAUUUAAUUUAGCAUUAUGCAUAUAGAAAUAGAUUUAU
Andrographis paniculata is the source of this 617-nucleotide long non-coding RNA. RefSeq lists it as uncharacterized. The transcript is spliced from 4 exons. NCBI's taxonomy places the organism in Eukaryota, Viridiplantae, Streptophyta, Magnoliopsida, Lamiales, Acanthaceae. The record is from RefSeq and is a predicted model, not a curated record.